This is a long non-coding RNA of Orbicella faveolata, 1706 nucleotides long. RefSeq lists it as uncharacterized. NCBI's taxonomy places the organism in Eukaryota, Metazoa, Cnidaria, Anthozoa, Scleractinia, Merulinidae. The record is from RefSeq and is a predicted model, not a curated record.
UGCGUUGCUUUAUGCUUUCCUUUCUGUUUUUUUUCUUUUCUUGAGCUUCCUUAUAUAUUUCUCUCGGUCAAAUUUAGUAUUGGCGUGUAUCAAUUACCAAAUAUGUACAAAAUGCACUCAUUUGUUGAUUUGUUGCAAUCUUGAGAGGCACGUCCCCAUCAGGUGCCCGUCUAAGGUCGAAGCGUUUUGUUCCGUGGCGAGUUGUGCAGUGUUGAGGCACGUCACAUUAUGCGUUCUCGUUCUCCUCCAAUAGAAAACUUUAUCGGUCGGUGUUACAGCGAAGACUUAAAUGUAGCAAUUUCUCAAAGACUUCAAAAGUAAACGUAAAAUCCGCAGAUAUUAGUAAAUGGGCGUGAUCGCCCAAUGAAUAUGACAUAAUUCAUGAACUAUACACACGUUCCUUUUUUUCUUAUAAUUAGUUAAGACUGAUUUUUUGACUGAUUUUUAAGCUAUAUUUUCAAAAUGUCAUUAAAUGACGAAAGGUACGGUGCAGUUCUAAUUGCUAUCAAAUAACCAAAGUGGUUUUGGAGAGUUACCAGUUGCCCAUCAACGCCUAAUUAAGUUUCACCUUCUUCGGUGUUACCUGUCAAGUGCCGUAUUUAAUACUUACCAAUAUGCACUCAGCAUUCGUGAAUAUCAGGUAAAUAACCUUAGAAUAGAAUAAAACAAGUCAAAAACAUUAUUUGUCAAAAUAGUAUGGCUUUUACAUGUAUACGGAACAGGCAAAGCUUUGCAUUGGAUUUUCUCGCAUAUACAGCCUAAAUAUUAAAUGAUUGUUUGGUAAUUGGAUCCCAAUAUCCAUUAGCGCGACCUUUCCUAGCCACGCCUCCUUCCUACUAAACUUACAGGCCACCACGACAAGAGGUGUGUCCAUUUGACGAGUAAACAGAAAGGGAAUUUAAAUUGCUCGAGUUUGGUCCAAUAAGAGCAGUCCAGAGACUUCCCGCAUGACAAGUAAUCGGCAAAAGUUGUGCGAUGUUUUUCAACAAAGACAGUCCAUUUAGUCAAAGCCACUAAUAAGGAUACUCUUCUCGCAUCUAGCUGUAAAUAGUUGCAGAUCUCCCACCUUUGACAAAUUUUUUGUGAAGAAAAGACACUGACGCUUGGCAAUGAAGAUUCUGUUCGCGUUCUUUGUGUUGUUUGCAACACAAAUUAUUGAUUUAAAAGCGCAUUUGCACUGGAAAAAAAACGCUUUGGACAUCACUGGCGUAGAUAAACCUCAGAUAAAGUUUUGGAAAAACCCAUUCUCCAAAGAGAAAGAGGAAGCUGGAGCACUGGCGUCCUUAACAGGCACAUUCAGAGUUGAGGGUACUGCAAAAAUCAAGAACAAUGGAAAGAUCAAGUUGCGUCUUACUCUAAUUGUGUAAUGACAAUGACAUAUAACAAUGAUAAUAAUAAUAUUAAUUAAUUUAUUAAUAAUAACUGUGUUAAUAUUAGAAGUUACUACCAGAAAAGGAUGAAGGAUAAUAUCCGAUAAAGGCCUUCAUCCUAGGGUAACCUCUCUAAAGUUAUUUCUAGAUCUCUGUGGGUUUCAGAAUUCCCAGGAAGGUCUAGACAUAGCUUAUCUGGUGGAGCAUAUCAUUUUUUUUUUUUUCAUUUAUAUGGAUCGCCCAAGCGACUUUACACGCAUUUUCAUCCUGCUUAAAAUAUCUAGGCAAAGCGCAUGAUGACAUUGUCGGUGGGAAAACUGGGUACCACGUCUAAAA